CGCGUAGGUGGCUUGUCAGGUCUGAUGUGAAAUCUCGGGGCUCAACCCCGAACGUGCAUCGGAAACCGGCUUGCUAGAGUCUGGGAGAGGAGAGUGGAAUUCCUGGUGUAGCGGUGAAAUGCGUAGAUAUCAGGAGGAACACCGGUAGCGAAGGCGGCUCUCUGGAACAGUACUGACACUGAGGCGACGAAAGCGUAGGGGAGCGAACA
Molecule: ribosomal RNA, 209 nt
Filed under: uncultured bacterium
Lineage: Bacteria
Description: partial 16S ribosomal RNA
Rfam family: Bacterial small subunit ribosomal RNA
Source: RNAcentral